CCAAUAGCGUAUAUUAAAGUUGUUGCAGUUAAAAAGCUCGUAGUUGAAUUUCGGGAUCGACGGGUCGGUCGCGCCUCUGGUGUGUACUGGCCCUGUCGGUUUCUCCCUUCUGACGAACCACGAUGUCCUUAAUUUGGUGUCGUGGGAAAUCAGGACUGUUACUUUGAAAAAAUUAGGGUGUUUAAAGCAGGCAUUCGCUUGAAUACAUUAGCAUGGAAUAAUGAAAUAGGACGUUUGAUCUUAUUUUGUUGGUUUCUAAGAUCGACGUAAUGAUUAAUAGGGAUAGUUGGGGGCAUUAGUAUUCAAUUGUCAGAGGUGAAAUUCUUGGAUUUAUUGAAGACUAACUACUGCGAAAGCAUUUGCCAAGGAUGUUUUCAUUAAUCAAGAACGAAAGUUAGGGGAUCGAAGACGAUCAGAUACCGUCGUAGUCUUAACCAUAAACUAUGCCGACUAGGGAUCGGAUGAUGUUAAUUUUUUAAUGACUCAUUCGGCGCCUUACG
Molecule: ribosomal RNA, 500 nt
Filed under: uncultured Glomeromycotina
Lineage: Eukaryota; Fungi; Glomeromycota
Description: partial small subunit ribosomal RNA
Rfam family: Eukaryotic small subunit ribosomal RNA
Source: RNAcentral